RNAcentral lists this long non-coding RNA (349 nucleotides) under Linum usitatissimum (flax). Its description in RNAcentral is "long non-coding RNA (LUSI_LNC003506)". The record is from RNAcentral. Lineage: Eukaryota; Viridiplantae; Streptophyta; Magnoliopsida; Malpighiales; Linaceae.
GCGACUCCAACCCAUAUCUUCAACCUUGCACUGCCAGCGCGAGCAGAUCACCUUCCUUCCCCGUGGUGGAGGAGGGCCGAGCGUCGGCAGAAUGCGUUCCUGGACGAGAGACCUCUGUGACAGAUGGCGACUCUGUUGGGGAGCCCAAAACCAUUCCAUCGGGGCGAUCUGCAAAAAAAAUAUCUCGAUAAGUUUGGGUGGUCUCUUUCAUUGUCUGUUACUGCCUUCUUAGGAUUUAAUUUCGGGGGAUGAUAAGCUAUGUACCUGAACUUGGGUGAGACUUAGAAAAAUGAAGGGUAGUAAGUGCAUGCGGGUUGCAAUAGCGCCCGACUCGCUGAUUCCUCGAACC